Molecule: long non-coding RNA, 473 nt
Organism: Daphnia magna
Lineage: Eukaryota; Metazoa; Arthropoda; Branchiopoda; Diplostraca; Daphniidae
Exons: 2
Source: RefSeq, a predicted model, not a curated record
ACACUAACAGCGUUUUCUAAAACAGAAGACAGCACUCAAGUCUUACUGUUGUUCACCGUGUAACACGCGCAACUGAAGGCCCAGUAACAUUACGGACGCCUUUUACUUUUCUGCGAACGAAACAGGGAGGCGGCAUAAUUCGCGUCCCCGUUUCAUGUGGCUUGUUCUGGUUACGCUUUUGUUAUCACUAGCUCCACCCGUUUCGACACAUCGAUAUUGCAGUAUUUUCAGGUGGUCCAUAGGGAUGGAACUAAAGGAUGUCUUUAUAACCCAAUGUCUGAAUUUUAAAGGAUUAAAAAAGAAAUAUAUUUAUGUCCUACCAUUAAAACAAAACAAAAAACACUAAAAUGAAUUUUCGGUAAUUUAGGGCCAUGUUUUACUUGUUUUAGCGUACUCCUUGUAUACAUCUCAAAUACGACAAGGAAAUGACAGGCAACCUGUGCUUUUUUUUCAAAUACAUCCUUUCGAACAUC